RNAcentral lists this ribosomal RNA (199 nucleotides) under Staphylococcus aureus. Its description in RNAcentral is "partial 23S ribosomal RNA". It matches the Rfam family "Bacterial large subunit ribosomal RNA", at positions 2726 to 2925 of the family's 2925-position model. The record is from RNAcentral. Lineage: Bacteria; Bacillati; Bacillota; Bacilli; Caryophanales; Staphylococcaceae.
CGGAGAUGUGUAUAAGAGACAGNAGCUAUGUGUGGACGGGAUAAGUGCUGAAAGCAUCUAAGCAUGAAGCCCCCCUCAAGAUGAGAUUUCCCAACUUCGGUUAUAAGAUCCCUCAAAGAUGAUGAGGUUAAUAGGUUCGAGGUGGAAGCAUGGUGACAUGUGGAGCUGACGAAUACUAAUCGAUCGAAGACUUAAUCAA